This 324-nucleotide ribosomal RNA is filed under the name uncultured bacterium. RNAcentral describes it as "bacterial SSU rRNA". It matches the Rfam family "Bacterial small subunit ribosomal RNA", at positions 28 to 334 of the family's 1533-position model. The record is from RNAcentral.
GACGAACGCUGGCGGCGUGCCUAACACAUGCAAGUCGAACGAAGCUUGAAGAUUGAUUCUUCGGAUGAAAUCUGAUAUGACUGAGUGGCGGACGGGUGAGUAACGCGUGAGCAACCUGCCCUUCGGAGGGGGAUAGUGUCUGGAAACGGACAGUAAUACCGCAUAACGUAUUUUACCGUCAUGAUAGAAAUACCAAAACUGACGGUGCCGAAGGAUGGGCUCGCGUUGGACUAGCUAGUAGGCGGGGUAAUGGCCCACCUAGGCGACGAUCAGUAGCCGGACUGAGAGGUUGACCGGCCACAUUGGGACUGAGACACGGCCCAG